This 91-nucleotide ribosomal RNA is filed under the name Staphylococcus aureus. RNAcentral describes it as "partial 23S ribosomal RNA". It matches the Rfam family "Bacterial large subunit ribosomal RNA", at positions 1 to 91 of the family's 2925-position model. Lineage: Bacteria; Bacillati; Bacillota; Bacilli; Caryophanales; Staphylococcaceae. RNAcentral also lists the same sequence under 1 other name. The record is from RNAcentral.
GAUUAAGUUAUUAAGGGCGCACGGUGGAUGCCUUGGCACUAGAAGCCGAUGAAGGACGUUACUAACGACGAUAUGCUUUGGGGAGCUGUAA